RNAcentral lists this ribosomal RNA (543 nucleotides) under Clostridioides difficile. RNAcentral's name for it is "partial 23S ribosomal RNA". It matches the Rfam family "Bacterial large subunit ribosomal RNA", at positions 1 to 547 of the family's 2925-position model. The record is from RNAcentral. Lineage: Bacteria; Bacillati; Bacillota; Clostridia; Peptostreptococcales; Peptostreptococcaceae.
UGGUCAAGUUAUUAAGGGUGCAGGGCGGAUGCCUUGGCACUAGGAGCCGAUGAAGGACGUGAUAAGCUGCGAUAAGCUUCGGGGAGUUGCACGUAAACUUUGAUCCGAAGAUUUCCGAAUGAGGAAACUCACUUAGAGUAAUGUCUAAGUAUCAUUAAGUGAAUACAUAGCUUAAUGAGGGGAACUCAGGGAACUGAAACAUCUAAGUACCUGAAGGAAGAGAAAGAAAUUCGAUUCCGUAAGUAGCGGCGAGCGAACGCGGAUUAGCCCAAACCAAUAAAGUUUUCUUUAUUGGGGUUGCGGACAUAUCAUAACGAAGAGGUAUCGUAAUUGAAGAGGUUUGGAAAGACCCACCACAGAAGGUAAUAGUCCUGUAUGUUAAACGAGAAGACUUUAGAUAUGAUCCAGAGUACCACGGGACACGUGAAACCCUGUGGGAAGCAGGAGGGACCACCCUCCAAGGCUAAAUACUACCUAGUGACCGAUAGCGUAUAGUACCGUGAGGGAAAGGUGAAAAGAACCCCGGGAGGGGAGUGAAAUAGA